Molecule: ribosomal RNA, 40 nt
Filed under: Crataegus chrysocarpa
Lineage: Eukaryota; Viridiplantae; Streptophyta; Magnoliopsida; Rosales; Rosaceae
Description: partial 26S ribosomal RNA
Source: RNAcentral
CGACCCCAGGUCAGGCGGGGUUACCCCCUGAAUUUAAGCA